UACACGCUGUGACUAGCAUAUCAAUAAGCGGAGGAAAAGAAACUAACAAGGAUUCCCCUAGUAACGGCGAGUGAAGCGGGAAGAGCUCAAAUUUGAAAUCUUAAAGGGUUUUCCCUUUACGAAUUGUAGUUUAAAGAAGUGUUUUCUGUUGAGGUUUUGGUAAAAGUUCUUUGGAAUAGGACAUCAUAGAGGGUGAGAAUCCCGUAUUUAACCUUUACUUUCAACUUUGUGAUACACUUUCAAAGAGUCGGAUUGUUUGGGAAUGCAGUCCAAAAUGGGUGGUAAAUUUCAUCUAAAGCUAAAUAUUGGCGAGAGACCGAUAGCGAACAAGUACCGUGAGGGAAAGAUGAAAAGAACUUUGAAAAGAGAGUUAAACAGUACGUGAAAUUGUCAAAAGGGAAGCGUUUGACACCAGUGUUGUUUUUCUGAAAAUCAAUUAAAGAACUGUUUAUGCUAAGUUGUUUAGACUUUAUCAGCUAACUGUUUAGUUUUGAGCUUUUCUUUAAUGCACUUUUCAGUUAACAAGUCAACAUCAAUUUCUUUUGCUGUAAAAAAGCUUGAGGAAGGUGGCUUGAGAUUCGUCUUAAGUGUUUAUAGCCUCUUGCCUAUGCAGUCGGAGAGAUUGAGGUCUGCAGCGUAGAUCCUUCGGGGCUAAAUGCAUUUGUGCUAAGUUAUAGCAUUUUAUAGACAACUUGUUGACUAUGAUUUGUCUUGUAGCUUACUCGCUUAUGUUAUUUUACCUACGCUUAGGAUGUUGAGUCGUAGAGCACGCAG
This 774-nucleotide ribosomal RNA is filed under the name uncultured Neocallimastigales. RNAcentral describes it as "partial large subunit ribosomal RNA". It matches the Rfam family "Eukaryotic large subunit ribosomal RNA", at positions 22 to 628 of the family's 3401-position model. The record is from RNAcentral. Lineage: Eukaryota; Fungi; Neocallimastigomycota; Neocallimastigomycetes; Neocallimastigales.